Molecule: transfer RNA, 69 nt
Filed under: Polypedilum yongsanensis
Lineage: Eukaryota; Metazoa; Arthropoda; Insecta; Diptera; Chironomidae
Description: tRNA-Ser
Source: RNAcentral
AGUUAAUGAGCUUGAUAAAGCGUAUAUUUUGAAAAUAUAAGAUAGAAAUCCCAAUUUUUCUAUUAACUU